RNAcentral lists this ribosomal RNA (482 nucleotides) under uncultured bacterium. Its description in RNAcentral is "partial 16S ribosomal RNA". It matches the Rfam family "Bacterial small subunit ribosomal RNA", at positions 28 to 523 of the family's 1533-position model. The record is from RNAcentral.
GACGAACGCUGGCGGCGUGCUUAACACAUGCAAGUCGAACGAUGAAGAAGAGCUUGCUCUUCGGAUUAGUGGCGAACGGGUGAGUAACACGUGGGCAACCUGCCCCUAACUCUGGGAUAACUCCUCGAAAGAGGUGCUAAUACCGGAUACGAAACUGGGAGACAUCUUCACAGUUUGGAAAGUUUUUCGGUUAGGGAUGGGCCCGCGGACUAUCAGCUUGUUGGUGAGGUAACGGCUCACCAAGGCGACGACGGAUAGCCGGCCUGAGAGGGCGACCGGCCACACUGGGACUGAGACACGGCCCAGACUCCUACGGGGGGCAGCAGUGGGGAAUAUUGCGCAAUGGGCGAAAGCCUGACGCAGCGACGCCGCGUGAGGGAUGAAGGUCUUCGGAUUGUAAACCUCUUUCAGUAGGGACGAAGCGAAAGUGACGGUACCUAAAGAAGAAGCACCGGCUAACUACGUGCCAGCCGCCGCAGUAA